GACGAACGCUGGCGGCGUGCUUAACACAUGCAAGUCGAACGGAAAGGCCCUGCUUUUGUGGGGUGCUCGAGUGGCGAACGGGUGAGUAACACGUGAGUAACCUGCCCUUGACUUUGGGAUAACUUCAGGAAACUGGGGCUAAUACCGGAUAGGAGCUCCUGCUGCAUGGUGGGGGUUGGAAAGUUUCGGCGGUUGGGGAUGGACUCGCGGCUUAUCAGCUUGUUGGUGGGGUAGUGGCUUACCAAGGCUUUGACGGGUAGCCGGCCUGAGAGGGUGACCGGCCACAUUGGGACUGAGAUACGGCCCAGACUCCUACGGGAGGCAGCAGUGGGGAAUAUUGCACAAUGGGCGGAAGCCUGAUGCAGCAACGCCGCGUGCGGGAUGAAGGCCCUCGGGUUGUAAACCGCUUUCGCCUGUGACGAAGCGUGAGUGACGGUAAUGGGUAAAGAAGCACCGGCUAACUACGUG
Molecule: ribosomal RNA, 468 nt
Filed under: uncultured bacterium
Lineage: Bacteria
Description: partial 16S ribosomal RNA
Rfam family: Bacterial small subunit ribosomal RNA
Source: RNAcentral